AGCGGUAAUAUUAAUGCAUACGGUGGAUGCCUUGACAUCAAAGAGCGAUGAAGGACGUAGCAGUCUGCGAUAAGCUUCGGGGAGGUGACGAGCAACCUUUGAUCCGGAGAUUUCCGAAUGGGACAACCCAGCCCGUAAGGGUUAUCAUUAACUGAAUUCAUAGGUUAAUGAGGCGCACCCGGUGAAUUGAAACAUCUUAGUAGCCGGAGGAAGAGAAAACAACAGUGAUUUCGCAAGUAGUGGCGAGCGAAAGCGGAACAGCCUUGAGUCAUUAGCGAUUUUGUUAGCUGAACGUUUUGGAAAGAACGGCCAGAGAGAGUGAAAGCCUCGUAGGCGAAAACGGAAUCGUGGAACCAGGACUCAAAACAAGUAGGGCGGGACCGGAGAAAUCCCGUUUGAAGAUGGGAGCACUAUCUCCCAAGGCUAAAUAUCUUUGAUGAUCGAUAGCGAACUAGUACCGUGAGGGAAAGGUGAAAAGCAUCCCGAUGAGGGAGAUGAAAUAGUAUCUGAAACCGUAUGCUAACGAAGAGUUAGAGCUCCGACACUUGUGUCGGGGUGAUAGCGUGCUUUUUGUAGAACGAUCCAGCGAGUUAGUUCUAUGCGGCUUGGAUAAGCGACGUUGUCGUGUAUCCGUAGUGAAAGCGAGCCUUAACCGGCGAAUAUGUCGUAUGGACUAGACCCGAAGCCAGGUGAGCUAUUUAUGAGCAGGGUGAAUUUACUGUAAAAGGUAAAGGAGGCCCGAACCCACGCACCGUGCAACAUGCGGGGAUGACUUGUGAAUAGAGGAGAAAUUCCAAUCGAACUUGGCGAUAGCUGGUUCUUCCCGAAAUAGCUUGAGGGCUAGCGUUGGGCAACUAUGUUUCGGAGGUAGAGCUACUGAAUGAGGAUUCGCGGUUCGCCGUAGGAUUCUCAACCAAACUCCGAAUUCCGAAAUAACUAUCCCAGCAGUCAGUACUCCGGGGCUAAGCUCGGAGCACAAGAGGGAAAAAGCCCAUGACCGCCGUCUAAGGUCCCAAAAUCUAUGUUAAGUGGAAAAGGAGGUGAAGUUUCUUAUACACCUAGGAGGUUGGCUCAGAAGCAGCCAUCCUUUAAAGAGUGCGUAACAGCUCACUAGUCUAGAGACUUCGCGCCGAAAAUUCAACGGGGCUCAAACAUAGUACCGAAGACGCGGAUUUGAUAUGUAUUUAUACAUAUUGAGUGGUAGGGAAGCGUUCCAUAUGCGCUGAAGCGCCAUGCGUGAGCAGACGUGGAGUGUAUGGAAGUGAGAAUGCUGGAACGAGUAACCGCAAUUGGGGUGAGAACCCCCAACACCGAAAGUCUAAGGUUUCCUGGGCAAUGGCAAUCAUCCCAGGGUUAGCCGGGCCUAAGGCGAGGCCGAAAGGCGUAGUCGAUGGACAUAUGGUUAAUAUUCCAUAGCUUUCACAUUAUUCGAUGGAGUGACGCAUCGCUGUACUUCUUGCCGAUUAUUGGAUUUCGGUAGGAAUAGCGAGGUGGCCAGACAGGCAAAUCCGUUUGGCAAUACACCAAGCCGUUUCUCGAAUUCCGGUUCGCCGGAAGAAGAGGAAGGAGCGCGGUGCCAGGAAAAGCUUCUAAGGUUCGUAAUGUGAAAUCCGUACUAAAACCGACACAGGUAGACUGGGCGAGUAGCCUAAGGUGAACGAGUGAACCUUCGUUAAGGAACUCGGCAAAAUAGCGUCCGUAACUUAGGAAUAUGGACUACCGGUGCUUAGCUUGCUAAGCGCUGGUCGCAGCGAAAGAUACCAAGCGACUGUUUACCAAAAACACAGGUCUCUGCAAACCCGCAAGGGGAUGUAUAGGGGCUGACGCCUGACCAGUGCCGGAACGUUAACGGGAGCGGUGAAAGCUUAUCCCCGAAGCGCCGGUGAACGUCAGCGAUAACUAUAAUCGUUCUAAGGUAGCGAAAUUCCUUGACAGGUAAGUUCUGUCCCGCAUCAAAGGCGUAACGACUUGGUAACUGUCUUAACGAAGAGCUCGGUGAAAUUGCAAUGACGGUAAAGAUGCCGUCGACCUGCAGCAAGACGAAAAGACCCCGUGGAGCUUUACUAUAGCUUGGCAUUGCGUUUGAGGUUAUGCUGCCUAGAAUAGGUGGGAGCCUUUGAAAUCCCGAUUCAGGUCGGGAUGGAGGCAACAGUGUAAUACCACUCUGUGUGAUUUUAAACGCUAACCCUGGGCUGUUAGAAAAUUGGAAACAUUUUUUUAACUCCUCAGCUUUAGAUUCAAGUAAUAGUGUAAAAAGUAUCUAUGAUGAUAUAAGUUGAGAGUUAUGGAAUGAUUCUUUCUAGUUUUCUACCAGUCCGGGGACAGUGCCUGGUGGGUAGUUUGACUGGGGCGGUCGCCUCCUAAAUGGCAACGGAGGCGUUUACAAAGGUAGGCUAGGUCCGGAUGGAAAUCGGGCCGGUAGUGCAAACGCAUAAGCCUGCUUUACUGCAAGACUCAUUAGUCGAUCAGUCACGAAAGUGGAAGUUAGUGAACCGACCAUCGCUCAUAGGAGCGUGGAAGAUCAUCAGAUAAAAGUUACCCCGGGGAUAACAGGCUGAUCCCUCCCAAGAGUCCACAUCGACGGAGGGGUUUGGCACCUCGAUGUCGGCUCAUCACAUCCUGGGGCUGGAGAAGGUCCCAAGGGUUUGGCUGUUCGCCAAUUAAAGUGGUACGCGAGCUGGGUUCAAACCGUAGAGAAGUCGAAAGUUUAUAAAGUUAUAAAGUUCAUAAAGUCGACUUUUGUACAGUUUGAACCCGAGGAAAGACAUCAAAUAAUCACGGCGGCCUUGAAGAGUAAUCUUCAAGUGCGAAACUGACUCAUAUCGAUGAAGUCCUGUUGCAUGACAAACUGUCAUGUGCUAGGAUAAUAUCGAGGGAAGUCGUGUAUGCUAGAAUCAAUUUCGUCAAUUGAAAAAUCUUAUUUGGCUGGUUUUUUGGAUGCUGAUGGGAGCAUUUACGUGCAAGCAAAACCAAACGAGACUUAUCGUUUCGGUUUUCAAAUCGCGUCGUACAUAGUUUUCUAUCAAUCGUCUAAAGAUGAAAAAGCCUUUUCCGACAUGUGUUCCAUUAUUAAACUGGGGCACAAGCGUGUCAGAAAAGACGGUAUCAUAGAAUAUAUAAUCAGCAGGCAAGAGGAAAUUAUUCAAUUUAUUAAUUUAAUUGAGCCUUAUAUAAAACUGAAAAAAGCUCAAUUGGAAUUAUUGAAAAAGAUAAUUGAUCUUAAGAAGAAAGUCCAGGAUAAAAAAGAUUUUAUAAAAUUGAUAAAUUUGAUUGAUAAAUUUCGCGAAUUAAAUUAUUCAAAGAAGCGAAAAAAACGUACAUUGACCCCGUAGAGACUAAACGUCAGUCUCCUAAUUCAAUAAAAUUAGGAUGAAGGUAUAGUCCAAUGCACGUAGCAAUACGUGGAAAACAUGCGUGAGACAGGUUGGUCUCCUAUCUGCUGUAGGCGUUAUUGCUUGAGAGGACACUUUCCUAGUACGAGAGGACCGGAAAGUACGAACCUCUGGUGUACCAGCUGUUCCGCCAGGAGCAUCGCUGGGUAGCUACGUCCGGACGGGAUAACCGCUGAAGGCAUAUAAGCGGGAAGCCCACCUCAAGAUUAGGCAAUUUUUGGUGCUUGCACCAAAACGAUUUGCUAGAAGAUGACUAGUUUGAUAGGUUUCAGGUCUAAGCGGAGUGAUCCGUUAAGCCGAGAAAUACUAAAAAAUCGAACAUUAUCUCUCU
This 3723-nucleotide ribosomal RNA is filed under the name Minisyncoccota bacterium. Its description in RNAcentral is "23S ribosomal RNA". It matches the Rfam family "Bacterial large subunit ribosomal RNA". Lineage: Bacteria; Bacillati; Minisyncoccota. The record is from RNAcentral.